GAUGAACGCUGGCGGCGUGCCUAAUACAUGCAAGUCGAGCGAACGGACGAGAAGCUUGCUUCUCUGAUGUUAGCGGCGGACGGGUGAGUAACACGUGGAUAACCUACCUAUAAGACUGGGAUAACUUCGGGAAACCGGAGCUAAUACCGGAUAAUAUUUUGAACCGCAUGGUUCAAAAGUGAAAGACGGUCUUGCUGUCACUUAUAGAUGGAUCCGCGCUGCAUUAGCUAGUUGGUAAGGUAACGGCUUACCAAGGCAACGAUGCAUAGCCGACCUGAGAGGGUGAUCGGCCACACUGGAACUGAGACACGGUCCAGACUCCUACGGGAGGCAGCAGUAGGGAACCUUCCGCAAUGGGCGAAAGCCUGACGGAGCAACGCCGCGUGAGUGAUGAAGGUCUUCGGAUCGUAAAACUCUGUUAUUAGGGAAGAACAUAUGUGUAAGUAACUGUGCACAUCUUGACGGUACCUAAUCAGAAGGCCACGGCUAACUACG
RNAcentral lists this ribosomal RNA (495 nucleotides) under uncultured bacterium. RNAcentral's name for it is "partial 16S ribosomal RNA". It matches the Rfam family "Bacterial small subunit ribosomal RNA", at positions 28 to 505 of the family's 1533-position model. The record is from RNAcentral.